UACGGGGGGGGCAAGCGUUGUUCGGAAUUACUGGGCGUAAAGGGCUCGUAGGCGGCCAACUAAGUCGGAUGUGAAAUCCCCAGGCUCAACCUGGGAACUGCAUCCGAUACUGGAUGGCUUGAGUACUAAAGAGGGUCGCGGAAUUCCCGGUGUAGAGGUGAAAUUCGCAGAUAUCGGGAGGAACACCAAUGGCGAAGGCGGCUCACUGGCCCGGUACUGACGCUGAGGCGCGAAAGCGUGGGGAGCAAACAGG
Molecule: ribosomal RNA, 253 nt
Filed under: uncultured bacterium
Lineage: Bacteria
Description: partial 16S ribosomal RNA
Rfam family: Bacterial small subunit ribosomal RNA
Source: RNAcentral